UGGGGAAUAUUGCACAAUGGAGGGAACUCUGAUGCAGCGACGCCGCGUGAGUGAUGAAGGAAUUCGUUUCGUAAAACUCUGUUCUAUGGGAAGAAAAGGACUGUACCAUAGGAGAAAGCUCCGGCUAAAUACGUGCCAGCAGCCGCGGUAAUACGUAUGGAGCGAGCGUUGUCCGGAAUUAUUGGGCGUAAAGGGUGCGCAGGCGGCUUUACAAGUUGGAUGUGAAAUAUUGUGGCUCAACCACAAACGUGCAUCCAAAACUGCAAAGCUUGAGUUAAGGAGAGGUAAGUGGAAUUCCUGGUGUAGCGGUGGAAUGCGUAGAUAUCAGGAGGAAUACCAGUGGCGAAGGCGACUUACUGGACUUAAACUGACGCUCAGGCACGAAAGCGUGGGGAGCAAACAGG
Molecule: ribosomal RNA, 404 nt
Filed under: Fusobacteriota bacterium
Lineage: Bacteria; Fusobacteriati; Fusobacteriota
Description: Fusobacteria bacterium partial 16S ribosomal RNA
Rfam family: Bacterial small subunit ribosomal RNA
Source: RNAcentral